Molecule: transfer RNA, 73 nt
Filed under: Ceratitis capitata (Mediterranean fruit fly)
Lineage: Eukaryota; Metazoa; Arthropoda; Insecta; Diptera; Tephritidae
Description: tRNA-Gly
Source: RNAcentral
GGUCGCAAUAGCCAAGUGGCCGGCAUUCCGUACUACCAUUCGGAAGGCUCGGGUUCAAGUCCCCGUGCGACCA